The sequence is a ribosomal RNA, 1181 nucleotides long. It matches the Rfam family "Bacterial large subunit ribosomal RNA", at positions 1753 to 2925 of the family's 2925-position model. The record is from Rfam.
UUGCACGGUGAGCUGGGUGUGGCCGCAGAGACCAGCGAGAAGCGACUGUUUACUAAAAACACAGGUCCGUGCGAAGCCGUAAGGCGAUGUAUACGGACUGACGCCUGCCCGGUGCUGGAACGUUAAGGGGACCGGUUAGUCACAUUUCGGUGUGGCGAAGCUGAGAACUUAAGCGCCAGUAAACGGCGGUGGUAACUAUAACCAUCCUAAGGUAGCGAAAUUCCUUGUCGGGUAAGUUCCGACCUGCACGAAUGGCGUAACGACUUCUCGACUGUCUCAACCAUAGGCCCGGUGAAAUUGCACUACGAGUAAAGAUGCUCGUUUCGCGCAGCAGGACGGAAAGACCCCGGGACCUUUACUAUAGCUUGAUAUUGGUGUUCGGUUCGGCUUGUGUAGGAUAGGUGGGAGACUGUGAGCCGGUAGCGCCAGCUAUCGGGGAGUCGUCGUUGAAAUACCACUCUGGUCGUGCUGGAUGUCUAACCUCGGUCCGUGAUCCGGAUCAGGGACAGUGUCUGGUGGGUAGUUUAACUGGGGCGGUUGCCUCCUAAAGGGUAACGGAGGCGCCCAAAGGUUCCCUCAGCCUGGUUGGCAAUCAGGUGUUGAGUGUAAGUGCACAAGGGAGCUUGACUGUGAGACUGACGGGUCGAGCAGGUACGAAAGUAGGGACUAGUGAUCCGGCGGUGGCUUGUGGAAGCGCCGUCGCUCAACGGAUAAAAGGUACCCCGGGGAUAACAGGCUGAUCUUCCCCAAGAGUCCAUAUCGACGGGAUGGUUUGGCACCUCGAUGUCGGCUCGUCGCAUCCUGGGGCUGGAGUCGGUCCCAAGGGUUGGGCUGUUCGCCCAUUAAAGCGGUACGCGAGCUGGGUUUAGAACGUCGUGAGACAGUUCGGUCCCUAUCCGCUGCGCGCGUAGGAGUCUUGAGAAGGGCUGUCCCUAGUACGAGAGGACCGGGACGGACGAACCUCUGGUGUGCCAGUUGUCCUGCCAAGGGCAUGGCUGGUUGGCUACGUUCGGGAGGGAUAACCGCUGAAAGCAUCUAAGCGGGAAGCCUGCUUCGAGAUGAGGGCUCCCACCCACUUGAUGGGGUAAGGCUCCCAGUAGACGACUGGGUUGAUAGGCCGGAUGUGGAAGCCCUGUAAGGGGUGGAGCUGACCGGUACUAAUAGGCCGAGGGCUUGUCCUC